GAUUAAUGCCCCAUAGUAUUAUUAAAUGGCAUCAUUUUAUAAUUAAAGUCACAACGGUAAAAGAUGAGCAUGCGUCCCAUAUGUUAGUUGGUAAGGUAACGGCUUACCAAGACAAUGAUGGGAUGGGGUCCAUGGAGGGAGAUCCCCCACACUGGUACAUGGACACGGACCAGACUCCUACGGGAGGCAGCAGUGAGGAAUAUUGGACAAUGGGCGCAAGCCUGAUCCAGCCAUGCCGCGUGCAGGAAGACGGUCCUAUGGAUUGUAAACUGCUUUUAUACAGGAAGAAACACUCCGACGUGUCGGAGCUUGACGGUACUGUAGGAAUAAGGAUCGGCAUGCUCCGUGCCAGCAGCCGCGGUAAUACGGAGGAUCCAAGCGUUAUCCGGAAUCAUUGGGUUAUGAGGGUCCGUAGGCGGUUUAAUAAGUCAGUGGUGAAAUCUGGUCGCUCAACGAUCAAACGGCCAUUGAUACUGUUAGACAAUGUUAAUGGGAAGAUGCUAGAAAUGUGUGUGAUGCGGAAAUGUGCUAUGAUAUUACAUGGAAUACCAAUUGCGAAGGCAGGUUACUACUUAUGGAUUGACGCUGAUGGACGAAAGCGUGGGGAGCGAACAGGAUUAGAUACCCUGGUAGUCCACGCCGAUGACGAUGGAUACAUGCUGUUGGGAGCAAUCUCAGUGGCAUGGCGAAAGAUGGUAUCCCACCUGGGGAGUACGUUCGCAAGAAUGAAACUCAAAGGAAUUGACGGGGGCCCGCACAAGCGGUGGAGCAUGUGGUUAUGUUCGAUGAUACGCGAGGAACCUUACCAAGGCAUGUGUGAUAUGCAGGACUGGAAACAGUUUUUUCUUCGGACAAUUUACAAGGUGCUGCAUGGUUGUCGUCAGCUCGUGCCGAUGAUGGGUGUCAGGUUAAGUCCUAUAACGAGCGCAACCCCUGUUGUUUGCCAGCGAGUCAUGUCGGGAACUCUAACGAGACUGCCAGUGCAAACUGUGAGGAAGGUGGGGAUGACGUCAAAUCAUCACGGCCCUUACGCCUUGGGCUACACACGUGCUACAAUGGACGGUACAGAGAGCAGCCACUGCGCAAGCAGGAGCGAAUCUACAAAACCGUUCU
Molecule: ribosomal RNA, 1113 nt
Filed under: Flavobacterium aquaticum
Lineage: Bacteria; Pseudomonadati; Bacteroidota; Flavobacteriia; Flavobacteriales; Flavobacteriaceae
Description: bacterial SSU rRNA
Rfam family: Bacterial small subunit ribosomal RNA
Source: RNAcentral